RNAcentral lists this ribosomal RNA (416 nucleotides) under uncultured bacterium. Its description in RNAcentral is "bacterial SSU rRNA". It matches the Rfam family "Bacterial small subunit ribosomal RNA", at positions 28 to 326 of the family's 1533-position model. The record is from RNAcentral.
GAUGAACGCUGGCGGCGUGCUUAACACAUGCAAGUCGAGCGGGCAAUUUAUCUAGCACUGAUUACUUCAAAUGGAAAUCAUAAGUGUAAUCAUGAAUUUCUACCUUUAAUAAAGAAAAAAGAAAUUCAUGUACGCAAAUAGUGAUAACACAUUUUAGUGGAGUGAUGAGUGCUGGAUAAAUUGCUAGCGGCGGACGGGUGCGUAACACGUGGGUAACCUGCCCCUAUCACUGGGAUAACACACUGAAAAGUGUGCUAAUACCAGAUAAUAUAAGCUUUUGGCAUCAUUAGCUUAUCAAAGAAUUUCGGAUAGGGAUGGGCCCGCGUCUGAUUAGCUAGUUGGUGAGGUAACGGCUCACCAAGGCAACGAUCAGUAGCCGACCUGAGAGGGUGAUCGGCCACACUGGAACUGAGACA